RNAcentral lists this unclassified non-coding RNA (236 nucleotides) under Geastrum sp. Its description in RNAcentral is "partial internal transcribed spacer region". The stretch from base 1 to 46 matches the Rfam family "Eukaryotic small subunit ribosomal RNA", at positions 1786 to 1831 of the family's 1831-position model. The record is from RNAcentral. Lineage: Eukaryota; Fungi; Basidiomycota; Agaricomycetes; Geastrales; Geastraceae.
AAGUCGUAACAAGGUUUCCGUAGGUGAACCUGCGGAAGGAUCAUUACUGAAGAUUAUAGGGUUUGGGAAUGCGUCAAAAUGGCGUAUGCUCAACCCUUACUCUUUCAUCCACACACACCUUUGUGCACCAUGGGAACGUUAAGUUCCCCUUUUCACAUAAAUACCAAGUUAUAUGCAUGUUUUGAUACACUCUACGGAGUAAUGUACAACUUUCAACAACGGAUCUCUUGGCUUUC